GCACCGGCGGGUGAAAACCCUAGCGCGCCGCCUCACAGUCCCGAACAUCCAUCCUCGUCACCUUUGUCCUCAGCUUCCAGUCUGCAAGUGGAAGAUGAGGCGGAGACCAAGAAGUAGAACCCGACUGCAGGAUAAAGAGGAGACAAAAAGUGACUUUGAAGCUAAUCAAUUUCAGCCAGAAGGAACUCAAAAAUAGUGUUGGCAGGGGAUAUUACCAUAAUGCAAAAAUAUGCUGCAAGUCAAUUCAGGUUUUCCAGGUCAUUUAUAAUUUACAAACCACAUUCCGGUAGUAUUAAAUAUGGCAGAAGACAUAGCAUGAGAAGACCUUUAUCUGAAGAAAAAGAUGAAAACCGAUGGGCAUGGCCAACAUUUUCCUACGAAGAAAACAAAUAAGGUUGCGGUGCAAGGUGCAGAGGUCCCCUGCAGCGUGUGGAGGUGGUUGGCCUUGGCCAGGUCAAGUUGUCGAUGCCGGUGACCUCUCUAUAUCCACUCCGUAGAGUUGGUGUUCCUCAUUCCCUUAUCUGAAAAUUCAUUAGAAUAAGGCCACUUGCGCAUCCAGGUAAACCUCCUGGUUCACAUUUUGUCUCUUUACACUUUCUUGACGCAGUUUACUGCUAUUUCUAUACCUAUACGGAAAAUUUGUUAUAACUGAUUUGUUUCAGUGGUUUGCUAAAUAGCGUGACAAAACAGAGACAUAUGGACAUUUUCCCAUAAUGUACUUGAUAUUUCAAUCCACCUAGGACUACUGUAUGUCAUGAGCCUGUAAAUAUCCUCGCAAGGUCUACUUUGCUUAUGGUGCUUAUAAAAUCUAAAAAGUAAUAUGUUAAAUACCAUAGGAAAACUGAAAUUCCUCCUAGAGAUAACAUCAUCCAACUAUUUUAUUUUAGCAAUUGAUACUGAUUUUGAACUCUGAAUUUGAAAUCUACAUGUUUACAUGUAUGCCCACAUGGCCUUUUGUAGUCUGGCCUGUCUACUGGUUCACGUUGUCCUCAAAGAGGGUUUGCCUUCCAAGCCGACUUCAGUUGUGAGAAAAUGGCAGCUUAUCUGGAGUUAACAGGGUGACAGUUGUGUUUAAUGUACAUACCCUGUUUUUUUUUUCCUCGCUUCCAUAUGUCAACUAAUAGUUUUCAUACUUAUGCGCUCAUAUUAAGUGGACCACUCUUUAUGCUUUUAACAUGAUUGGUAGCUCUGGACACUGAUGUGUACUGUUUACCACUGUUCUCCUUUUCUUUAUAGUUUUAUGAAGGAUUGUCAAGCUAAAAAUAAAGGAUGGAGGCCAUGGAUAUCUCUACUAAAAGUAUUGCAUGGCGCCAUGACAUCUUCCUCUUCUCGUAUGGCGCCUGCAGAUGGCGUAACCUUCAGGUGAGAUCCUCCUCCACUUGAAGUGUUUGCUAUUUUUUCAUGAAAACAUUCACAUUUCGAGUAGUUUUUCAUCCCUUUUAUUAUAAAUCACGGAGAUGGAGAUACAUAUUAGGGAGUAAAUUUGUUAAUAUACUUCUGAAGGUUGCAGCAUGCACAAAAGAAUUUGGUGGUAAGCUUCCAUAGUUUUUUUUAUAGAAGAACAAUAUUUAGUUAUAUCAUCCUACUGGCAUAAUGAUAUGUUGUCUGUGUUGAUGGAAUUGACCAUCAAGCUGGAGAGGCUCUUUAACCAGCAAUACAUAUAUCGCCUGACACCAUGGGGUAUGUCUAUUUUUAUUCCUGAUUUAUUUGUGGUUGCAGCAAGGCAGAUUAUGUCUUCCUGGUCUACCUAUUAAUCUUUGCCUACUACCACUGUUGUGGAUUGGAAGUCCAUUUUUCUUACACUGAAGCCUAAUUGUGUGAGAUUUAAGAGAUUGAUUAAUGACAUAUGAUGUGCACUUUUGUAGCUGUGAGGGAGGAUUGAAGUGAAGUUACAUCAUUAAACUUGCAAUGCUUCUAAAUAUCUGCGAAUUAUCACCCUUUAUUGGUUGCUUUUCUUGAUGAAUAGCUUCAACGAUGACAAUUUGAGUUAUAAAUGACAAGUCAGUGCUUAAUUUUGAAAACCGUAAUUUCUUACUUACCUUCUUGAUCAUUACAGGGCACCUGCAAGCAAGCUCCACCAGAAUCUCUGUUUCCAUUACAGUUGUAGGCGAAGUCUAAAAUAGCUCCGAGGCAUUCUGCUCUAUUUGAGUAUUGCAAAGCACUCCAAGAGGUCUUUGUUUUCUUUGCUGGAGUUAUUCUUUGCUAAAUUUAGCAAAUAUGUAUCAUUUAAAAUAAAUUUAGGAUGAUUGGAAUGCAAAAGUGGUUCUUCUGGCUAUAGUUCCUACUUGUGCUGGUAUGGAGUUCAGUUCACCAUUAUUUUGUUCAUUUGAAUGACCACAGAGUGUACUAUUUUACCAUCUCUGAUAAAUCAAAAUAGUCUCUAUAAUUCUCCUAUAUGUUUUUCCCAUUUCGGCUGUCAGGUUGCAGGCUUGCAGCUUAUUUUUUGUUACUUCGUCAUCGUAAUUGGAGAGGUUUCCUGUGUAGCUCAUUGAGGGUUGGGACUGUAUUUUUGCCUAAAACAAGAUAUCCCAUGCCUUUUUUCAUUAAUGUUUCUAUGGUUUGGGAAAGUUCAGUCUUUGGCUUUGGCUUUGGCUUUACCUUGCAUGCCACAUUGAAUCUCUAUUUUCUCUAUAUCUCAUUAUCGUCAAUCGAUUUCUUAUCAUUAAUUUCUGAUGUGUACAGUUGGUUUAAUCUCGGUGAUGAAAAAUAAAAAAGAACUACCUUUUGCAAUACAUGCAUGUUUGCUAGAAAGGGGUCAAAGCUACAUACAAGACUGUUUACCCCCGCGGGAGACCGAAUAUCUUAGAAACAACAUCCUAAAAAUUUGGCGCCCAUGUUGUACCAACAACCGGUAGAAGCUUUCCCUGGCAGGGCAUGUACGUAGCUGAGACCCUGUGUGCUUUACUCAGGUUACCCCAAGUUGUGAACCAAAGGAAGACGAUAUAGGGUUAUUUCUUGGUCCUUUGUGGGCAUGAUUUAGUUUAGUUUUUGUGGUACAUGCUUGGGACUUGGACAACAAAUCUGGAGCUAAUAGUUUACCCAAGCUACUUCAUUAACGCCUUUUCUUUUGUUAGAUUCAGAUUUACUAUAUGAUUUAUGUAAGUGUGCUGUCAUGUUGCAGGUUUGCAAAGAGGAAUUUAGAUGAGUAUGUAUUUCUUGGCAAUCAGCUGCAGGUGUAUAUGCACCUUAGUUUGAGAGAUUUUUGGAUACCAAGAAGAAACUGAAGGUCGGGAGAAAUGAAGUCCUCAACUAAAUAAGAUCACCGCCUCCGCCCCGUGCGGCGUUGUCGUCCCCAUCAAGCCGCACCAGAGGGAGAUGCUUAGCUGUGGCCACACAAACGGAUGGGGACGUCAAGCCAAGCUGGUGGCUGGCGGCCUACCAUCGCGUCAACUUACACAGGAUAGGAGAGCCCUCGAAAAAAAAAACACAGGAUAGGAGCAGAGGAAUCUUGAGCGCGGUGUCCAGACCUGGAGUGGAGGACAUGGGUCGCCAUGAAGCAAUUGCCCCUUCGUUGUGAAGUUACAGGUGUGUAUAGAAGCUUUUUGUGUAAAUGCCUACGAGCAAAGACCGCUCCUGGAAGAAUGCUCACAACUCAGCUUGAAUUUGUAAGUUAAUUGUCCUCUCAGAUGCACCCCUCUUGAUGCUUUAUAUGUUUCAACAUGGAUUCUUGGUUCCUAUAAAUUUACAGGUUAUGAUGUUGUGAUGAACUUGCAGCAAUGAAGUGAUUUGGGUAACAUCUUGCUUUUUAAAAUGACUUUCAUUUACUUCUGUGGCAUUGAAGGAGCGACGCAAUUCCUCCCAACUACAGAAUUUGCAGCGGCUGAAGAUGCUAGAAGUACAGGUUAUAUUGUCUUAUGAAUUGUCUAAGGAAGUCUUAAAUUAUUUAUCUGUUGCUUGACCAAUGGUUUGUCGAACUGAAACAGUAUGGCCAUGUGCCCAUGUUAUUUCUUUGUUUGCCAAAAUAAAUUUAACUUCCGAUCACAAAAUAAAAGAAUGUCCACGGAUAUCUCUUCGCAUUGGUUUAAUUCUGUAUCCUGAAAUAACUACUGACAAUGACUAUUGAUAAAGCUGUUAUGAACACCCUCUUAGUUACAAUCAUAUUUUGUGAAACUGCUUUUACACCAACUUACCUAGAACUGGUAAUGAGUAUAUAUUCUUAACGCUUAAUGCAAUGCAGAUUUGUAGGGUAUCAAAAAAGAAAGGUAUUGUUAGUUGUAUUCUGUUUGUAGUAAUGUGGUAGUGCCCGGAAUUAGAUGUACCAUAUUCUCAUUAGCUUUGCCCUAAAUAAGAACUAUUAGAAAGGUUUGGGUGUUACUUCAGUUACAAUUUACACUGUCUUCCUUUAUUAAAUAGGUAUCUUAUGUCUUGCACUAUUAUUCCUUUCUUCAGAGAUAAAAUGCUUCAUGUGAUGAGUGGUGUAAUUAAAUUGAAGAGAAACAUGAAGAAGUUUGAUGGCACCCAUUCUUAGGUUGAAAAUUGAAUGUCCGAUCCAUUAUUUGCUCUUUUUUUUUGCUUUAUCACUUUAUUAUGUAGUUCCUGAUUUUGGAAGAUGUAUUAUCUGGUCAUCGCUUGCAUUUGACUACAUUUGUGCGAUUUGUAAUGUAAUUCAUCCAGUAUACGGGUUAUACAUUUGGUAGCAAAUUUGAAUUUUCUCGGAUAUACAUAUAUUUGAUUUAUUCAUUUGGUUUA
Lolium perenne is the source of this 4689-nucleotide non-coding RNA. The record is from RefSeq and is a predicted model, not a curated record. NCBI's taxonomy places the organism in Eukaryota, Viridiplantae, Streptophyta, Magnoliopsida, Poales, Poaceae.